CCUACGGGUGGCAGCAGUGAGGAAUAUUGGUCAAUGGACGAGAGUCUGAACCAGCCAAGUAGCGUGAAGGAUGACUGCCCUGUGGAUUGUAAACUUCUUUUAUAUGGGAAUAAAGUGUUCCACGUGUGGGAUGUUGUAUGUACCAUAUGAAUAAGGAUCGGCUAACUCCGUGCCAGCAGCCGCGGUAAUACGGAGGAUCCGAGCGUUAUCCGGAUUUAUUGGGUUUAAAGGGAGCGUAGGUGGAUUGUUAAGUCAGUUGUGAAAGUUUGCGGCUCAACCGUAAAAUUGCAGUUGAAACUGGCAGUCUCGAGUACAGUAGAGGUGGGCGGAAUUCGUGGUGUAGCGGUGAAAUGCAUAGAUAUCACGAAGAACUCCGAUUGCGAAGGCAGCUUACCGGCUUGAAACUGACACUGAGGCUCGAAAGUGUGGGUAUCAAACAGGAUUAGAUACCCGAGUAGUC
RNAcentral lists this ribosomal RNA (460 nucleotides) under uncultured bacterium. RNAcentral's name for it is "partial 16S ribosomal RNA". It matches the Rfam family "Bacterial small subunit ribosomal RNA", at positions 338 to 795 of the family's 1533-position model. The record is from RNAcentral.